AGAGUUUGAUCCUGGCUCAGAUUGAACGCUGGCGGCGUGCCUAACACAUGCAAGUCCAACGUGAAAGGGGAGCAAUCCCCCGGUAGGGUGGCAAACGGGUGAGUAAUACAUGGGUGAUCUACCUUAGGGAUGGGGAUAUCCUUCCGAAAGGAGGGGCAAUACCGAAUAUUGUCCGGGACCGUGAAGGGUUCCGGGGAAAGGGAGGCCUCUGAUACAAGCUUUCGCCUUAAGAUGAGCCCAUGGCCCAUCAGCUAGUUGGUAGGGUAAAGGCCUACCAAGGCUACGACGGGUCGCUGGUCUGAGAGGACGACCAGCCACACUGGCACUGAGAUACGGGCCAGACUCCUACAGGAGGCGAC
RNAcentral lists this ribosomal RNA (359 nucleotides) under uncultured prokaryote. Its description in RNAcentral is "bacterial SSU rRNA". It matches the Rfam family "Bacterial small subunit ribosomal RNA", at positions 8 to 352 of the family's 1533-position model. The record is from RNAcentral.